This 4375-nucleotide long non-coding RNA is filed under the name Brassica napus (rape). RNAcentral's name for it is "long non-coding RNA (BNAP_LNC002537)". Lineage: Eukaryota; Viridiplantae; Streptophyta; Magnoliopsida; Brassicales; Brassicaceae. The record is from RNAcentral.
GUAUGUUUGGUAUCCUUGGGACAGGUUCAAGUUGCUAGGGUUGUUGAACCUAGUUUCUGUCCCAUGAUACUUAAAUUGUGUGUGUUGCUCUGUUUCUUAAAUUAUUUCUAGGAGUUGUCUAGCAUGGUAUUGUCUAGUUCCUGUCCUAGAUUAAUUGUUUCUGUUUGUAUUGUGCUAGGCGAUUUGUUUAGCUACUGUCAUUGUCUUGUUGCAUUGAUAAAGGUCUAGGAGAGCCUCCUGAUCUUGUAUUGCAUUAUAUAUAUUGUUCAAGAUGAUUAGAUGAGUUGUUUAGUCUCUGUUUAUUGUCUUUAAAAUUCAUAAAAAGAGCCUAAUUGCCUUGUUAUUGAUGAGUUAUCAUACCUGAGCAGUUAGUGAUGUUAGUAUGCAUGGAGUUGAACUGAAUGAGUUGUUUAGAUUCUGUUCAUUGCAUAUUUCUUUUUAAAACAUUGGGAUCAGACUUGGUGAAUUAUCAAGGGCUGAUCCUAGUGUGUGUGGUCUGAUUCUUGCUGGAGUUUGAGUGAUGUUUCAGGUACACAAGAGGUGAUCUCUGUCCAUCAUCAAACUAAGACAAAGAAGAAGGCAUUGCCCACGUUUUUCAGAGCCUCCCAAGAUGGAUAUUCCUGAACCGUGGAGAUUGCCCAGUCCCAAAUCCUAUCUAUGUGUCUGCCCAUUUCCUACCCUGAAGAUAGAAAGGAUGUUGGAGAAUUGGAGAAACUGCUCAGAAGUGACUUACCUGAUGCCAAGAGGAUGUACAGGAGGUGCACUCAAGAGAAAAGGCCAUCACUAAGCCAAGAGUGGCCGGUGGUCAGAGGCAUGGAUCAAGGUGUUUAGUCCUGACCAUGUAAAGAUACCUUGUGAGUAGAACCAGUUGGCUUAAGCGCAGGCGUAGGAGCUGUUGUGCUCCUGGUGCAAGAGACUCAUAAGGAAGGUCAUCACCUAAGUCAUGGGGAGACUGGUGGCCCAAAGACAUUAGAGCUGAAGGAAAAUGGUGAUCCAGUUGGCUUAAGCGCAGAUGUUGGUAUUGUUGUGCUCCUGGAAGAUAGUGAACUGGUUGGCUUAAGCGCAGAUGUUGGUAUUGUUGUGCUCCCAGUUUCAAAACUCAUUGAAGCUCACAUUCAAGCUUGUCCCUAUACUCAGCCAAGCUUGAGGAGGGGAAUCAGUGAGCUACCAGAAGAUCCAUGAAGCUCCUAAGUGUCUCUUUUCCUCAUAGAAGGCCAGCAACAUCUAUGUGUCAAAAUAGAUGAUCAAGAAGAAGAGGUUGCAUGGCGAUUUAAUAAGGAGGGGCCUAAGUGAUCAGUCUGAAGAAGCUGGCACACCCCACCACUCUGACCAGCUAUAUUCAAGGACUCAAGGAGUAUUCAAUCAGGGAAAUUAUUGGCUAAGCAAUCACAUGAUGGUGGCAAAUUAUGGAGUUGAAAAGUGCUGAGCUUCCCUACAUGCUGAAACUUCAAGAGAAAAAUGCAAAGGCUGGUUGAGAGAAGGAAUGGCGUGGAGGAUUCAAGUGCUUAGCAAUCCUCACCAACAUUCAACAAACUGAUGCAAGGGAAGUACCUAAAACCAUUAUUAUUCUUAUGUGUGAAUAGGUUUGCCUCUUGAGAAUUGAUACAUGCAUUUUUCGGAUGAUUGAAUCAGGUACCUAUUGAGCUCAUGAACAAAGAAAAGCUUUGUCUCAACUCCUAAAUGGAGGCAAGAAGCCAGAAGAAAGGGGGGAGACAAGCUCAGGUCAUAAGAAGAAGCUCAAAGGUGAUUUGACGGUGAAGCAACUGGCGCCAAUCCAAGUCGUUCAUUGCCUCACCUCUGAUCAAAAUUGGAGUUUGCAAGUGGUGGAUUCACUCUUGCAUUACUCAGUACCAACCGGAUCAAAGAAGCUCAGUUCCAAGUGUGUGAUUGAGCUUCCAUAAUCCGGACUGUGUCUUACCAAGUGGGGAUUCAAUUGGAGUCCACGCCUCACCAUUCUUAUGAAAGGGAAGCACCUUAAACUCAUCUCAAUACAUUCAUGAUUGUCCUUAUACUUUAUAUUAUUGAGUUUGAUGUGAUGAGUGCAUUUCCUUAAGAACUGAUGCAAUUUUAGAAUGGUGUGUAUCAGGUACCAAAAUAAGCUUGAGCCUCACUGAAGAUGAUGAUGAUGAUCCGGUCAUGUCCUAGCCUUUCUAAGAUGGCCAAAGAAGUCAGUUGAGAGGGGGAGACCCUAACCGAGUCUAUGGUUCCAUGAAGAGGUCAAGCCAAGUUCUAAAGAACAAGUAACUUUGCUGGGGGUUCAGAGAAGAUGGUCUGGUCGUUUCCUUGCCUUCCUAAGGUGGCUUGAAGCCAGUUGAGAGGGGGAGACCCUAAACCGGCCACAAAAUGAUCCAGCCGGCUACUUGUGCUCAAGGAUAGCAAGUUAUGGUGAUUCAUACUUGCUAUACCUAUUAGGCCACGAUCCAGAGCCUAAGGACUCCACCAUGAUGAAUCUGAAGUUCCUUAGGCUCACUGGCCAAUCCCUAAGCUUUGUGGAAACUCCACUCUUUUUCCCUUAGCAAGUUUUGUCCCAAUGGGUUUUCUUGCUAAGGUUUUUAAUGAGGGAGCUUCUUCAAGGUUCCAAGCUUGUCCAAGGAUCUCCUAUGGUCAAGCUUGAGGGGGAGUGUUGGAAUGAAGAAGUAAGAAGCUGAAGUUGAUGAAGAGACCAAGCUUCAAGAGCAAGCAAAUCCGGAACAAGCAGAUUUGAAUCUGUCCGUACAGUUUUGGCUUGCAAGUAACCAAACCUAACCUAGAGUGUCUUGGAAGUCAAGGCAAGUGGGGAACUCGUCCAGCUGAGCUUUCUGAAGCAUAUUUGAAGUUUAAACUAAGUAUGAGACCGUUGGAGAGAGAUCUGGCAAGUUGGAGAAUUAAUUAAGAUAAAAGUCACAUGUGCAUAAGGAGAUGAACCUGAUGUCACUUUCACCCAACCAGACUGUGCCCAUCUCUCUCUCCUGUCACUCUCUACUCCCUCUGGUCGAGAUUCUCCUUGGCUGCAUCCUCCUGGCUCCAUCAGAAACCCUACAAUAAUAUUAGUUUAGUAAAUCUGUACUUUAACAAUUGUUUAAUCACUUGCAACUUGUAAUCUGGCUAUAAAGCCACCCCAUUGUAACCAUUACGAAAUUAAGCUGAAUGGGGGAGUUUCCCCUUUCUUCUUCACCAUUCUCAAGUCUCUUAUACUCUCCCUAAUCUCUGGUUACAAGAAUCUCUCUCAUACUCUCUCAAAUCUCACUUAAUCUCUCUUUUGCUCCAUUGCAGUCUCUUUAAUUCUCACUUACUCUCUUCACUCUGUUCUCUUUCAAUCCGACCACUCUCUGUUCUAAACAACACUCACACACCAUAAUCUGUCUAUGCUCACACCACUGGAAUCACCUGAUUAGAAAGUGGGAUAACUUGGUAUCAGAGCUCCAAGCUCCUGAGAAUCCAUAGAGCUUCCGCAAAUCUGUUACAGUUCAUACUUCUCUUCAAAAAUCUCUGUUUCUGUUCAUCCUUGUAUCCUCUGGUCUAAAGCUUUUCCAGGAGGGAAGAGACUCACCAGAAUUCAAGAUAAAGGAGGUCUUUAGUAUCUGAAACUCAAAGCUUCCACAAUUCAAGCAUAGGCUCACCCUCAUUGUUAUUUCAAAUCAUUGGAGAGUUUCUGUCCAGCCAGCUGUUCAAUCUCUUCAAGAGGAAGAAGACUACAAACAUGGCGUGUCCAGAGACUUCCCAAGGUCUAUCACCCUUCCUCCUGUUCAGCCUGAAGAGGUCUCUUGGAGAAAGAAGGUUUUGGAGCUGUUUGGCAAGCAAUGCUCCAAACCAAGUCUGUACAAGUGAUUUUCAAGUUCUUCCCAAAAUGGAGUCUCUCACUGUGUGCCAGAAGGUGGCGCCUGGUAAUCAGGAAGAAAGGAGGGGUCUUAAGCAUGAGUGGUCUAAAGGGAAAGCACACACAAGGAAAUGGCGUGGGGUAGAGAUCCCAAACUCCAAAUCUGUCAAGUUCAAGUGAACAGUGUGCCUUGGAGGUUCAAGGAACCAGCUCAGGUUCCUUGUUUGUAAGUUAACCUCCUACCUUUAAUAAGAGCUUGAGUAGUUAUGUCUGGUUGUGUUGAGUGGUGUGUUUGGUAUCCUUGGGACAGGUUCAAGUUGCUAGAGUUGUUGAACCUAGUUUCUGUCCCAUGAUACUUAAAUUGUGUGUGUUGCUCUGUUUCUUAAAUUAUUUCUAGGAGUUGUCUAGCAUAGUAUUGUCUAGUUCCUGUCCUAGAUUAAUUAUUUCUGUUUGUAUUGUGCUAGGCGAUUUGUUUAGCUACUGUCAUUGUCUUGUUGCAUUGAUAAAGGUCUAGGAGAGCCUCCUGAUCUUGUAUUGCAUUAUAUAUAUUGUUCAAGAUGAUUAGAUGAGUUGUUUAGU